AAAAAUGGCUGGGUUAUUUUUUAACCCAAAAUGCUGGGUUGAGUCUGUUGGGUUGUUUUGCUGGGUUAUUUUUUUUACAUUUUAAACACUUUUUGGGUAGUUUCAGUUUUCUAGGUGUUGGGUUAAAACUGCUGGGUUAUUAUGUUGGGUUGUUUGAAGAGGCUCACGUGCUUCGCGCCCUUGAUGUUUGAAUGUGCUCAGCAAUGGUCGUCGUGAAAGGACAGAGUCACUGAAGCAGUUGUUUCAAGAGUGUGCAGAGUUUUUAUGUCCAUCCAUUGAUGAGGCUAGCAAGACCUUCAAACAACUUUAGCCAAUUGCAACAAAUGUGGUGGAAUUUCUUCUCUGGACAGAAUCCUCGAAACCCUUUCCUUUCGUCCUGGCCAUGGGAAACAUGCAGCAGACCUCUCAAUCUUUUUUCUCAAUCAGUCUCUCUGAAUACGGAAGUGACUUAAACUGCAAUUCGGCCAAGAUGGCGACGGCACGCACCGCCUACUUUAAGCUUCAAAAAUGCUCUUCACAAACCAAUGGGUGACGUCACAGACACUACUUGCAUAUUUUUUACAGUCUCUGGUUUAAAGGCAUUUUAAGUGCUUAAAAAAAUAAAUACCCCAGGCAAUGUGCUUCUAUGGGAAUUCCUGUAGUCUGUCAUUUUUCAAAUGGAUGAAUCCCCUGCUGUUCGAUUCCUUUGUACAUCUUUGUUCGCGACGAGUAACUUUAAUAAAUGAAGUAUUUUUAGUCAAAUACAUUCCAUUCUGUGAAACUUAAAACAUUUGUUCUUUAAAAAAACUUUACA
Misgurnus anguillicaudatus (oriental weatherfish) is the source of this 793-nucleotide non-coding RNA. Lineage: Eukaryota; Metazoa; Chordata; Actinopteri; Cypriniformes; Cobitidae. The record is from RefSeq and is a predicted model, not a curated record.